This 1475-nucleotide long non-coding RNA is filed under the name Cicer arietinum (chickpea). RNAcentral describes it as "long non-coding RNA (CARI_LNC002585)". Lineage: Eukaryota; Viridiplantae; Streptophyta; Magnoliopsida; Fabales; Fabaceae. The record is from RNAcentral.
CAAGAUCAUGGACUGAUUUUUUUUUUUUUAACGAAAGGAGAAUCGUUUCAUUUAGAAUGCAAUCAGCAGUACAAUUGGGGGUAUUAAUAAAGAUAUAAGGAAUAGCUAAGUUAGUAGCCACUCUAACAACAUUAUGAACAAUUACAUUUGCUUGCUCUUUGAAAAUUGAACUAGUAAUUUGUCAUACUUAAAAGUAAAUCAAGACGAUGAGAAAUAAUGACUCCAAACUCAUGCACCCUCUUUAUUUUGGUUAAUACUGUCCACAAUCGCCUUGAAAUCAAGCUCAAAUAUAACACGUGCAAUUCCAAGGUCAGACCUCUGACCCACCCACUUGAUCGCAAGCAACAGACUCAUUGUCUCGCCUUCCCUUACACGAAGCUUUGGUUGAAUCUAGGAAGUUUGAACCCGAACAGAAUGACGUUUUUCAUCUCGCAAACAGCAGCCAAAAACUGUUGUAUGAUGAACAUAAUAAAAUAAAAUAAACAUCUGAGUUGUAUUUCCGUAGAUGUGUGACCCGUGUGGGGCUUACACCAGUUGAUUAUACAUGUUGGUUGAUCUUCAAUGUCAUGGGGUUGCAAGUUCAUGUUGGCCUGCCUUCAAUGAGCAAUAGUCUGCAUAGCCCUAUAGAAGACUUGGGAUGAUUCAUCUAUAACUUGCUCCCAAAGGUGGUUAUCCUGUUUUUUCCAUAAGCUCCACAAAGCGGAACCAAAAGUAGCUUGCCUCUCUGGGUUUAGCAUGUGCCGGACCUGGAAAAAAAAGUCUAAGAAUAUACCUGCAAUGAGAGGUCCAAGCAUUUUCACAUAGAUCGGCUUCUUUCCAACAUUGGACAGUUGAUGGGCACAAAACAAAAGUAUGCCACUCAUUUUCCAGCACUCCGGAGCACAACACAUAAAAAAAAAAAAAUUAAAAGACUACAAUCAUAAUAAAAAAUACUUAAGAGGAGCCAAAAUAUUAGUCAAGGAAACUCUCAAAACUUUGCCGAAAUUAAGGCUACAAUCAGAUGAUGAAAUCACAAGUACCAAGCCAAAACAACCAUCAGAUGAUUUAUGAAGAAAACAAAAACCCAGAUCAAGCAAGCACAACUGCAUAAGCAAAUUGCAAACCAUUCAGCCAAAAACUAUGGCAUGCAUCCUUGUCAAUUACACGAAAGAUUCAUCACUUGCACUAACAAACAAUUUACAUGUUCAAUCCAUCAUUCCACAGUGAAAAAAGCAAGCGAUCACUUUAAAGUGAAAAUAAAUAUAUGGAAUGUCCAAUCAACGACAUUUAUUAUAAAACCAGAAAAUAUAUAAGUUCACAGUACAUCUGAUCAUCAGACAUUUCAAAAUAAACCAUAAUGAAGUUCCAGUAGCAAACAUGUACCACAAUUCCAGAUUCAAACUGGAAAUUAGGACUAUGAAAUGAAAUAAAAAAAUAAAAAAGAUAAUUCUCCCAGGAGCAAACCAUAUCACAACUUGACGAUAGUUAACUCCAAG